GAUGAACGCUGGCGGCGUGCCUAAUACAUGCAAGUCGAGCGAACAGACGAGGAGCUUGCUCCUCUGACGUUAGCGGCGGACGGGUGAGUAACACGUGGAUAACCUACCUAUAAGACUGGGAUAACUUCGGGAAACCGGAGCUAAUACCGGAUAAUAUAUUGAACCGCAUGGUUCAAUAGAGAAAGACGGUUUUGCUGUCACUUAUAGAUGGAUCCGCGCCGCAUUAGCUAGUUGGUAGGGUAACGGCUUACCAAGGCAACGAUGCGUAGCCGACCUGAGAGGGUGGUAGGCCACACUGGAGCUGAGACACGGACCAGAGGCCUACGGGAGGCAGCAGUAGGGAAUCUUCCGCAAUGGGCGAAAGCCUGACGGAGCAACGCCGCGUGAGUGAUGAAGGUCUUCGGAGCGUAAAACUCUGUUAUUAGGGAAGAACAAAUGUGUAAGUAACUAUGCACGUCUUGACGGUACCUAAUCAGAAAGCCACGGCUAACUACGUG
RNAcentral lists this ribosomal RNA (497 nucleotides) under uncultured bacterium. RNAcentral describes it as "partial 16S ribosomal RNA". It matches the Rfam family "Bacterial small subunit ribosomal RNA", at positions 28 to 507 of the family's 1533-position model. The record is from RNAcentral.